AGCCCAACCGAGCAGCUGGUGUUUCAGCGUAGCAGCAUGGUGUUGUGUGUUCUCUGCUCAACGCUUUCAGCAGACCGGCUGUAUUCUACAUAGUGCCCCUAGCUGCAAACUGUGGCAGAGCUUGGUUUGUGAGGGAGUAUCGGGGCAAUUGGAAGACCACGCCUACUGGGUAAGUAGGGGCACACACCUGGAUAUAAUUAUGAAUCAGUCCAUGGUUUAAAAGUACGUUUUCCCAGUUGGUGUCUGAGAUCGGGGAUGAAGUAUCCAUCCGAGAGAGCGUAAAUGAAUGGGAAGUGGGCUGAAAAGCUUUCGGUUUUUGUUAAAUUAUUUUGCUUUUGUUAUUUUAAUUUGUUGUUUUAGUUCAUUGUUUUUGCCUGGAACCCAUGAGGGGGAAGGGUGAAGGUGUUAGUUUAUUUUAUUUCGUGUUUGAGUUGGUGCGCGCUCUCUCCAUGCGGCAACCAAUAGUGUUUCCCGAAACUGCCACAUCUCCCUCCCAGGGGUGUCCUACUGGCGUGACACAGACGUUUCACCUUUGAAUUUGGGCCACAUAUGUAGAACAAAUACAGUCCCCAGGGUCUUCUGCAUUGGCCACAGGAAUCCCCAGAGCUCCUGAAUGAUGAAACAGGCUCCAGAGGAGACAGCUGGUGCAACUGACAGCAACAGACCUCUCCAUAAAGUACUGCGCCACAUCAGAUAGAGAAGUGGUGCUCACCUGAUCGAGCCGAAACCCUCGAAGGAGCAUCAGGAUACAGUGAGGAAUUGGGGAAGAUGAAGCUUGUGCCACCUGUCGACAAGAG
This is a long non-coding RNA of Anguilla rostrata (American eel), 797 nucleotides long. RefSeq lists it as uncharacterized. Lineage: Eukaryota; Metazoa; Chordata; Actinopteri; Anguilliformes; Anguillidae. The record is from RefSeq and is a predicted model, not a curated record. The transcript is spliced from 3 exons.